Molecule: ribosomal RNA, 433 nt
Filed under: uncultured bacterium
Lineage: Bacteria
Description: partial 16S ribosomal RNA
Rfam family: Bacterial small subunit ribosomal RNA
Source: RNAcentral
GCGAACGCUGGCGGCAGGCCUAACACAUGCAAGUCGAACGAACCUUUCGGGGUUAGUGGCGGACGGGUGAGUAACACGUGGGAACGUGCCUUUAGGUUCGGAAUAACUCAGGGAAACUUGUGCUAAUACCGAAUGUGCCCUUCGGGGGAAAGAUUUAUCGCCUUUAGAGCGGCCCGCGUCUGAUUAGCUAGUUGGUUGAGGUAAUGGCCCACCAAGGCGACGAUCAGUAGCUGGUCUGAGAGGAUGAUCAGCCACAUUGGGACUGAGACACGGCACAAACUCCUACGGGAGGCAGCAGUGGGGAAUCUUGCGCAAUGGGCGAAAGCCUGACGCAGCCAUGCCGCGUGAAUGAUGAAGGUCUUAGGAAUGUAAAAUUCUUUAACCGGGGACGAUAAUGACGGUACCCGGAGAAGAAGCCCCGGCUAACUUCGUG